This 468-nucleotide ribosomal RNA is filed under the name uncultured bacterium. RNAcentral describes it as "partial 16S ribosomal RNA". It matches the Rfam family "Bacterial small subunit ribosomal RNA", at positions 28 to 507 of the family's 1533-position model. The record is from RNAcentral.
GACGAACGCUGGCGGCGUGCUUAACACAUGCAAGUCGAACGGAAAGGCCCUGCUUUUGUGUUUUGCUCGAGUGGCGAACGGGUGAGUAACACGUGAGUAACCUGCCCUUGACUUUGGGAUAACUUCAGGAAACUGGGGCUAAUACCGGAUAGGAGCUCCUGCUGCAUGUUGGGGGUUGGAAAGUUUCGGCGGUUGGGGAUGGACUAGCGGCUUAUCAGCUUGUUGGUGGGGUAGUGGCUUACCAAGGCUUUGACGGGUAGCCGGCCUGAGAGGUUGACCGGCAACAUUGGGACUGAGAUACGGCCAAGACUCCUAAGGGAGGCAGCAGUGGGAAAUAUUGCACAAUGGGCGGAAGCCUGAUGCAGCAACGCCGCGUGCGGGAUAACGGCCUUCGGGUUGAAAACCGCUUUCGCCUGUGACGAAGCGUGAGUGACGGUAAUGGGUAAAGAAGCACCGGCUAACUAAGUG